GUACAGGAUAUAAAGGAUAAUUUCCUUUCCUUUGAUUCCUGAGUUCCCCUCAUUUUAGCUGAUGCACACAUCUUAUCAAGUGAUUCAACAUGCUAAUCAGUAUCAGAGAGAUUCUGCUCUGGCAAGUCUCAAAAUUUAGAAACCUAAAAUAAUACAUGAGCACCUUCAUUUUCAUAAAACUGGUAACUGAUUGCUUGUGCCUUUUAGUGCCUCUUGUCUCAAAUUAACAGCAUCCUAUACUAACCAGCAAUUUUGCUGUCAGCACUACUUACCACCUAGACACCUAAUCCCUUGCUCCUUUUACUUGAUCCCAAUGGUUUAUCAUGAUCUCUUUAUGGAAACUCCAGAGGGAAUAACUAAACAAUGGAAUUCAAACAGGUUUCCUCAAGAUUCAUCCUUUAGAAAGUUAGAUAGACUAAAUGGAUUUUUUUUCAUUUGGUAACUUUUAAGCAAAAAUUAUUUCUAAUAAAUCCUCAGCAGUGCUGACCAGUCAGAGUUUUAUUUAACUGUUAACAGGAGUACAGUUGGGUCAACUAAGAGCAUUUUGAAAUUUCACCCUAAACAUAUUGGAUUCCUUUCUUUCUAUGAAGCUCCCCAAGUGCAAAUGAAGGUUUUCAUUCAGUUGAUCCCUGUAAACAAUCCUAAGGCUGCUUUUGCAUUCUUUGUAUCCUGAUUCCAGUUUAAAGAAAUAUGUCUUUCUCUUUUUCUUAUCCUGCUACAAAACCUUGUGCCAGAGAAAUAGUUGGAUUCUGAAAUAUACUGACCCAAGUCACGUCUUAUUCUGAAUUUGACAGUUUAUAGCUAUAAUAUGGAAGAAGAAAGGGGUCUUUGAGAAUAUCACCAACGUGUAUGAGAAUUCUAUUUCAGCAGGAUUUGUAAAAAGAAUAUGAAUUUGAGUCUUGACACAAAUUGUAUUUCCUUCCGUGACAGCUGCCCUUCACUCUGACUCUUCCACUUUGAAGAUUAGCUGAAAGGUGUGAAGAAGGACACCUCAGGCACGAAGGAUGUAAAGAAGAGUGGGUGGAAAUGAUGAUGAUGAUGAUGAUGAUGAUGAUGAUGAUGAUGAUGAUGAUGAUGAUGGUGGUGGUGGUGGUGGAAGUUGACUCCCUCUGGCCCAGUGGCUCUCUAGGAAGUUCCGACUCAGAGUGUGGGGUGAUAUGACUGUGGAAGAAAUCCUCAUCCUCCUGAAGCCAUGGCAAUUCUCCCAGUAUCUACUACAACAGUGAGGAUUUCAAUACAGAAGGUUUUUUUUUCAUUGCUGAGGGGAGGUUUUGUGGUUAACAUGAUAAUAUUGCAUGUAUAAAAUAUGUGCAAACUACUGAAUCACCAUUUGAAUGUAACAGAAAACAUUUUUAACUAAUUAACCACCAUUUUCUUAGUUGUCACUAAAAAUCUGCAAAAUAAGAAUUUUUCUCAUUUUUCAUAUAACGUGGCAAAAUGAAUAAUUGCAAUAAAUCAAAAUAAAUAUCAAUUCUAUACAUAUAUACACAGUUGCUCUCUGUGCUCUUUUCCUUUUGCACUAAGAAAUCUUGAUUUUCUGCAUUGACAUUCACUUGUGUAGUCUCUGCAAUUAAGUAUGUAAAUUUGAAAACUUCAUCUAUAAAUGAUGGAAUAGAUAUUUCUGUAACACUUUGCGUGCAUAAAACUUCCUGACAGUCUGUGACUAAAUGAAACAUGCAUGCAAAUAAAGCUGCUAUCUUUGUGUUUAAACUUAUGGUUCCACAGCAUUCAAAGUUUGGGCAAAACAUGUUAUCAAACAGCAGUUCUGCUUGGAGUCUUCCAG
Molecule: non-coding RNA, 1783 nt
Organism: Taeniopygia guttata (zebra finch)
Lineage: Eukaryota; Metazoa; Chordata; Aves; Passeriformes; Estrildidae
Source: RefSeq, a predicted model, not a curated record